RNAcentral lists this ribosomal RNA (361 nucleotides) under Ixodes ricinus (castor bean tick). RNAcentral's name for it is "partial 16S ribosomal RNA". The stretch from base 216 to 361 matches the Rfam family "Bacterial large subunit ribosomal RNA", at positions 2473 to 2619 of the family's 2925-position model. The record is from RNAcentral. Lineage: Eukaryota; Metazoa; Arthropoda; Arachnida; Ixodida; Ixodidae.
AAAAGCUUUCUUUAAUUGAAUAAUUGAAUUUAAUUUUUUAGUGCAAAAGCAAAAAUAAAAAUUAGGGACAAGAAGACCCUAUGAAUUUUUUAUUAAAUUUUAUAAAACUUUAUAUAAAAUUUAAUUUAAUUGGGGUGAUGGAAAAAGAAUAAAUAUCUUUUUUUAAAAAAAAAUUGGUUCCGUUUUUAGCGAUUAAAUGAAAAAAAUACUCUAGGGAUAACAGCGUAAUAAUUUUGGAUAGUUCAUAUAGAUAAAAUAGUUUGCGACCUCGAUGUUGGAUUAGGAUUCUUUUUUGGUGAAGAAGUUAAAAAAAGAAGUUUGUUCAACUUAUAAUUUCCUACUUGAUCUGAGUUCAGACCGG